AGCGAACGCUGGCGGCAGGCUUAACACAUGCAAGUCGAGCGGAUGUAGCAAUACAUCAGCGGCAGACGGGUGAGUAACACGUGGGAACGUACCUUUUGGUUCGGAACAACACAGGGAAACUUGUGCUAAUACCGGAUAAGCCCUUACGGGGAAAGAUUUAUCGCCGAAAGAUCGGCCCGCGUCUGAUUAGCUAGUUGGUGAGGUAAUGGCUCACCAAGGCGACGAUCAGUAGCUGGUCUGAGAGGAUGAUCAGCCACAUUGGGACUGAGACACGGCCCAAACUCCUACGGGAGGCAGC
RNAcentral lists this ribosomal RNA (298 nucleotides) under uncultured Bradyrhizobium sp. RNAcentral's name for it is "partial 16S ribosomal RNA". It matches the Rfam family "Bacterial small subunit ribosomal RNA", at positions 29 to 352 of the family's 1533-position model. Lineage: Bacteria; Pseudomonadati; Pseudomonadota; Alphaproteobacteria; Hyphomicrobiales; Nitrobacteraceae. The record is from RNAcentral.